AAGGUCCAAACCAAUAUCAAAAUAAAUAAACCGGAAUUCCUAGCCUAGUCAAGGACAGAGCCAUCUUUUCAUUACAGCGCUGUCGCCAACCUCGCUGCUUUGAGCUAGAAACGCCAGAAGGAAGAUUUGAGAACCCAUCAUCUUAAUGAAGAAAAAAGAACUACUGCACAAAGACCAUCAAAGAGUCUCAAUGAAGCCAGCAAAGGGUAUCCUUUUCCAUGCUUCAGAAUCGUUGACUAGUCGGGGAGGGUGACGUCACAACUCACCGGUCUCUCAUUCUCUUUUAGCGUGGGGAUCAACCUUCAAAUAGAGAGGAAGAGGUGUGUACCCCUGUAGUAGCCGACGUCCUACAAUGCUUUAAAGCCAUCCCUUACAGGCAAACGGCAGCUUCUAGGCCUAGAUCUUCACUGAAACAACACUGAGCUAAAACCUCCUGACUCUUGGAUCACCGAUUUACUUCAUAUAACCCUCCCUUAGAGAACUCUAGAGAUCGGCAAACAAGACCCAAAACAACCAUCUGCCACACCAAGUCGAGAUGGGGAGGAAACCCAUACCCGACCAAUGAGAACGAUUUUCUUCCCCUGCCCAAAGAUUAGAGGAAGCAAGUAGAAAAACUCGGCGAACCCAAGAGACAACCGAAAGAACGAAAUUAAGAGAAAAUUUCUCCCUGUAAAAUGUUAGAGAGACUUUAGGUUUUAAUUUUG
Molecule: unclassified non-coding RNA, 704 nt
Filed under: Hevea brasiliensis (rubber tree)
Lineage: Eukaryota; Viridiplantae; Streptophyta; Magnoliopsida; Malpighiales; Euphorbiaceae
Source: RNAcentral